Molecule: ribosomal RNA, 506 nt
Filed under: uncultured bacterium
Lineage: Bacteria
Description: partial 16S ribosomal RNA
Rfam family: Bacterial small subunit ribosomal RNA
Source: RNAcentral
GAUGAACGCUAGCUACAGGCUUAACACAUGCAAGUCGAGGGGUAACGAGAGGAAAGCUUGCUUUCCUUGUCGACGACCGGCGCACGGGUGAGUAACGCGUAUCCAACCUGCCCCCAACUAGGGAAUAACCUUGCGAAAGUAAGACUAAUACCCUAUAAUUUCCUCAGAUGUCAUCUGACGAGGAAUAAGGAUUUAUCGGUUGUGGAUGGGGAUGCGUCUGAUUAGCUUGUUGGCGGGGUAACGGCCCACCAAGGCAACGAUCAGUAGGGGUUCUGAGAGGAAGGUCCCCCACAUUGGAACUGAGACACGGUCCAAACUCCUACGGGAGGCAGCAGUGAGGAAUAUUGGUCAAUGGGCGGAAGCCUGAACCAGACAAGUAGCGUGCAGGAUGACGGCCCUAUGGGUUGUAAACUGCUUUUAUACAGGAAUAAAGUUAGCCACGUGUGGUUAUUUGUAGGUACUGUAUGAAUAAGGACCGGCUAAUUCCGUGCCAGCAGCCGCGGUAA